RNAcentral lists this long non-coding RNA (216 nucleotides) under Olea europaea (common olive). RNAcentral describes it as "long non-coding RNA (OEUR_LNC013799)". Lineage: Eukaryota; Viridiplantae; Streptophyta; Magnoliopsida; Lamiales; Oleaceae. The record is from RNAcentral.
UAGACAUUCAGAAGCAAUAGCACUUACAAUAUCUUUUUGCACUCUUGGUGAUGUUAAUUUCAAAUUCUCAGGUGCAUUUGUCAAAGUUACUGCCUUAAUCUCGGGAUUAUGAUCACACAACCAAUGCAAUAGUUCAAGAAAGUUUCCUUGAUUGUUUGAAUCUUCAGAUUCAUCAUGUCCACGAAAUGCCAUCCCUCGUCGUAGAAGAAAUCGAAC